This 735-nucleotide ribosomal RNA is filed under the name uncultured eukaryote. RNAcentral describes it as "bacterial SSU rRNA". It matches the Rfam family "Eukaryotic small subunit ribosomal RNA", at positions 669 to 1426 of the family's 1831-position model. The record is from RNAcentral.
CGUGUGUGCUGAUAUGACUCUUCCAUCUCUCUAGAGAGCCACGCCUGCUGCUCACUCAUCUGGGCGUGUGCGAUCUAGAUCAUCUAUCUUGUAAAAAUAGAGGGUGUAAGCAAGCAUUUAUUCUGCAUACACAGCAUCGGAGUAUAAUAUAGGAGGUCUGGUCUUAUUUUGUGGUUUCUAGACAGCAGUAAUGAUUGAUAGGGAUAGUAGUGGGUGCUAGUAUUCAGUGGCCAGAGAUGAGAUUCUCGUGAUUCUCUGAAGACUAAUCUCUUGCUGAGAGCACUCUCCACCGGAGGUGUUCUUUUUAUCUAGAGCGAGAGAUGGGGGAUCGAGGACGAUCAGAGACACUCGUAGUCUCACCCAUAUACUAUACAGAGUAUGGAUCAGUGGGCGUGUUAUAUUGAGUCCACAGGCACUUUAUGAGAGAUCAAAGUCUCUGGGUUCCGGGGGGAGUAUGGUCGCAAGACUGAAACUUAAAGGAAUUGACGGAAGGGCGCCACCAGGAGUGGAGCGCGCGGCUUAAUUUGACUCAACACGGGAAAACUCUCCAGGUCCAGACAUAGUGAGGAUUGACAGAUUGAAGAUAUUUCUUGAUUUUAUGGGGGGUGGUGCAUGGCCGUUUUUAGUUGGUGGAGUGAUUUGUGUGGUUAAUUCCGUUAACGAAAGAGACCUCGACCUACUAAAUAGUUGGUGGAAGCCCUUGGCUUUGCGCUUACUUUUUAGAGGGACAAUCGG